GUCCAGCGGCAGCGGAAAGUAGCUUGCUACUUUGCCGGCGAGCGGCGGACGGGUGAGUAAUGUCUGGGAAACUGCCUGAUGGAGGGGGAUAACUACUGGAAACGGUAGCUAAUACCGCAUAACGUCGCAAGACCAAAGAGGGGGACCUUCGGGCCUCUUGCCAUCAGAUGUGCCCAGAUGGGAUUAGCUAGUAGGUGGGGUAACGGCUCACCUAGGCGACGAUCCCUAGCUGGUCUGAGAGGAUGACCAGCCACACUGGAACUGAGACACGGUCCAGACUCCUACGGGAGGCAGCAGUGGGGAAUAUUGCACAAUGGGCGGAAGCCUGAUGCAGCCAUGCCGCGUGUAUGAAGAAGGCCUUCGGGUUGUAAAGUACUUUCAGCGGAGAGGAGGGUGGGUGA
Molecule: ribosomal RNA, 401 nt
Filed under: Enterobacter ludwigii
Lineage: Bacteria; Pseudomonadati; Pseudomonadota; Gammaproteobacteria; Enterobacterales; Enterobacteriaceae
Description: bacterial SSU rRNA
Rfam family: Bacterial small subunit ribosomal RNA
Source: RNAcentral